UAAUAUAUCGGAACGUGUCCUGUAGCGGGGGAUAACCUAUCGAAAGAUGGACUAAUACCGCAUACGCUCUACGGAGGAAAGCGGGGGUUCUUGGGCAACUGAGGACCUCGCACUAUAGGAGCGGCCGAUAUCGGAUUAGCUAGUUGGCGGGGUAAAAGCCCACCAAGGCGACGAUCCGUAGCUGGUCUGAGAGGAUGAUCAGCCGGACUGGGACUGAGAUACGGCCCAG
Molecule: ribosomal RNA, 229 nt
Filed under: uncultured bacterium
Lineage: Bacteria
Description: partial 16S ribosomal RNA
Rfam family: Bacterial small subunit ribosomal RNA
Source: RNAcentral